Molecule: long non-coding RNA, 2632 nt
Organism: Haemorhous mexicanus (house finch)
Lineage: Eukaryota; Metazoa; Chordata; Aves; Passeriformes; Fringillidae
Exons: 5
Source: RefSeq, a predicted model, not a curated record
CACAAGACUGAGAAGAAUAAAAAAAAGAGGUGCCCGACUUCAGUAGUCAAACACCUUCCCUGCCUCACAUCCGUUUGUGGUUUGUAAAGAGAGAGAGGAGAGGAAAAAAAAAAAUCUCUUCCAAAAAAGCACCGGUCUGCAGAUGUCUGCAAGAGAACCCACGAACCCUCCUUCUUCUACGGCAGGGCAGAUGUCUUUUGCUAGAGAAAAUUUUCAUUUUCAUUUAUAUUCACAACGUCUCUGUGAAGAGAGGAACGUUUCUUAAAUCUCCAGGCAAGCAGUUGGCAGGAGUACCGCUUGAAGGGAAUGAAUUGUCUGUGUUAGCUGUUCAUCUUUAAAAAUGGACUCUUCAGUAGCAUGUAAGUGCGUCACAGAUAAAGGACUAACUUUGUGAACAUACUCCUGCAGUAGAAAGGACAAAAAUGAACAAUUCUUAUGUAAUUAGUCACCCGACACAAGUGUUCCAGGAUAAGAUCUUCUGAAGUAUCAUAGCAGAAAUAUAAAUGGAAUACUUAGAGUUGCUGUUGUCAGCUGUUAAAAAUGGAAGUACUUCUGCAGCAUUUCAGGUUCUCUGGAUAGUUGUGCAUCAGACUAAGGUAUUCUUGUGGCAUUGAAAUGCACAAGGGUAAUUAACUGCUUUCCUCCUGGCCCAGAAGCCAAACAACCCACUGGCACAGUUUAAGGCAACAAAAUCAGGCUGGACCAGGCUUGUGUUUGCCCUACUUCCCUAGACUUUUUGCCUGUCUUAGGUGGUAAAAAGGCAUUUCUUACAUUUGAAUGUGCUGCAGUGGUUAUGCAAAUUGUUAAUAGAUGCCAUUUCCUAGCAUUCCAGCUCAAACAUUGGAGUGCAGUAAACUUGAGCUGACUGGGCAUCAAAAGGCAUAAACCAGCAGUGUUAAUACAGUCGGUCUCAUGAGAUCACUACUGCUGAAAACUGGGACUACAGCCCAUGGGUAUUUUUGUGUGUCUUCCAUCUGCUUCUCAAAGUGCUCUCCAUGCACACCUAAAAAGACCAGUCAAUUUUCCCCUCAACCUAUUGGAAAUAAAUUUGUUGAGGUACACGUGUUUUCACACACAGCUUAAGGCAUAUGCUCCCAUAAUUACUAGCACUGCUUGUAAGUCGGGAGUUAUGCAGGCACAGCAUCCAGGUGUAGGGUGUUAUUACUGGUUCUGCUUUGGAAACAUACUCAAGUGUGCCUCUCUGCCAUCUGGCAUUUCUGAUUCAGGAGAAUAUCUGUAUUUUCUUGUCUUUCUUGAACAUUAAAAUCAAGGGUCAAGGUCUGCUUUUUUCUUUUGUACAGUUUGGUUCAUUUGGGAGUUGUUCCUAACAUAACAAAGCUGUGGUUUUGCAGUAGGCUUCAGCAAAUUUAAAUCUGUGCUGCUGCUGAAGGUGGUCGUACAGCUCUCUUUCCCUUCCUGCUCCAGCUGCAUCUUCUGCUGUCUCUCUAGGGAGAGUGAGCAUACUUCUGGCUUCAAGGUCAGCUGUGUCAGGAACCAUCUGAAAAUUAGUGUGUGUCUAAGAUCUUAGGUGGAUCAUUUUGUAUUUUUGAUCUGGCUGAUCCUGAGGCAGCAUGAGAACUGAUGAUGAAAUGAGAGGAGUGUUUACCUAGGUCUGAGGAGAGGAGGGGGAGGGAGGUGGUGAGUGGGCCUGCCUCUUGGCACACUCCAUACUUAGGGUAGCUUAAGCCAAUAAUGAAACAGCACCUAAGAGUCUGCUUGUUAAACUCAGAGGUGAAAUGUGCUUCUGGUAUUAGGGAAGAUCAAACACUGGAAAAUUCCAAUGCUUUUUUUUUUAACUUUUGUAUAGUGUAAUUUCCAGAGAGCUUGAAGCAGAGCCAUCAUGCAGGAAAAAUAAAUAGUAGAUAUUGACUGGAACAAUAGUAAGAGCUAGACACCUCACAUAGACCCAGUUUUCCAAUUUUUUUCCAUAUAACUCCACUAAAAUGCUCCUUGGUGGGGAGAAUGCUGAAAAUACUCUGAAACACACCAAAAAUUAUCAAAAAGGUACACACAAUUCAUAAGCUUCAACUGGGAUGAAAACUUAUUGAAAUAAUUUUUUUACUAACCUGUUUAUUUUUUUAAGCAAUCCAAUCUUUCUUCCUGCAAUUCCUACCUAGACAGGCCCAUGAAACCUGUGGUACUGGGGAGGAAGUGAUGCCGCAAAGUUACUCAACAUGCACACUCUGUAGAAGGAUUUUUUCAUAUUUCAGCCGAAUUUUAGGUAAGUUCCUCACAUUCUGUGAAAGGUAGUCUUCUUUACUGCACUUCUUCACAGGGCUUUUUAGACCCCACUAGGAAAAAAAAAGGUAUUUGGAUGUCAGUCAUUGAGUCCUUGCUAGUUAAAAAUCAUGUCUUUCAGAGAUGCUUUCUAUCCCUAGUCCUGCACAACAUGAAAUAUGGUUGACAGCUAUAUUACCACACUGCAGAUUGCAAAGCAAUUCACAUUCACACUUCUAAGUGCCUCUCCUUUCAAGACUUAUGGAUGUAUGCCAAAUUACUUGCAUUGUGGUAUAUGGCCUUCUAUAUGUACUUUAUAGAAGAGGUCUCUGGUUUCCAUUAAAAUCAAUGAAGUAGAGACCAAAAGAGCUUUUCUGAAGUGUUUACUAGAUGUCAGACAAGGUUAAUAAUAAAA